Molecule: ribosomal RNA, 806 nt
Filed under: uncultured Archangiaceae bacterium
Lineage: Bacteria; Pseudomonadati; Myxococcota; Myxococcia; Myxococcales; Archangiaceae
Description: bacterial SSU rRNA
Rfam family: Bacterial small subunit ribosomal RNA
Source: RNAcentral
AGAGUUUGAUCAUGGCUCAGAACGAACGCUGGCGGCGUGCCUAACACAUGCAAGUCGAGCGCGAAUGGAGCAAUCCUAGUAGAGCGGCGCACGGGUGCGUAACACGUGGAUAAUCUGCCUGGGUGUCUGGGAUAACCAGUCGAAAGACUGGCUAAUACCGGAUAAGCCCCCGGGAGCUUCGGCUCUUGAGGGAAAAGGUGGCCUCUGUAUACAAGCUAUCACAUCCAGAUGAGUCCGCGGCCCAUCAGCUAGUUGGCGGGGUAAUGGCCCACCAAGGCAACGACGGGUAGCUGGUCUGAGAGGACGAUCAGCCACACUGGAACUGAGACACGGUCCAGACUCCUACGGGAGGCAGCAGUGGGGAAUUUUGCGCAAUGGGCGAAAGCCUGACGCAGCAACGCCGCGUGUGUGAUGAAGGUCUUCGGAUUGUAAAGCACUUUCGACCGGGACGAAAACCCUGAGGCUAACAUCCUCAGGCUUGACGGUACCGGGAGAAGAAGCACCGGCUAACUCUGUGCCAGCAGCCGCGGUAAUACAGAGGGUGCAAGCGUUGUUCGGAAUUAUUGGGCGUAAAGCGCGUGUAGGCGGCUUUGCAAGUCGGGUGUGAAAGCCCUCAGCUCAACUGAGGAAGUGCGCCCGAAACUGCAGAGCUUGAGUGCCGGAGAGGGUGGCGGAAUUCCCCAAGUAGAGGUGAAAUUCGUAGAUAUGGGGAGGAACACCGGUGGCGAAGGCGGCCACCUGGACGGUAACUGACGCUGAGACGCGAAAGCGUGGGGAGCAAACAGGAUUAGAUACCCCAGUAGUCC